This 517-nucleotide ribosomal RNA is filed under the name uncultured bacterium. RNAcentral describes it as "partial 16S ribosomal RNA". It matches the Rfam family "Bacterial small subunit ribosomal RNA", at positions 28 to 523 of the family's 1533-position model. The record is from RNAcentral.
GAUGAACGCUGGCGGCGUGCCUAAUACAUGCAAGUCGAGCGAAUGGAUUAAGAGCUUGCUCUUAUGAAGUUAGCGGCGGACGGGUGAGUAACACGUGGGUAACCUGCCCAUAAGACUGGGAUAACUCCGGGAAACCGGGGCUAAUACCGGAUAACAUUUUGAACCGCAUGGUUCGAAAUUGAAAGGCGGCUUCGGCUGUCACUUAUGGAUGGACCCGCGUCGCAUUAGCUAGUUGGUGAGGUAACGGCUCACCAAGGCAACGAUGCGUAGCCGGCCUGAGAGGGAGAUAGGCCACACUGGGACUGGGACACGGCCCAGACUCCUACGGGAGGGAGCAGUAGGGAAUCUUCCGCAAUGGACGAAAGUCUGACGGAGCAACGCCGCGUGAGUGAUGAAGGCUUUCGGGUCGUAAAACUCUGUUGUUAGGGAAGAACAAGUGCUAGUUGAAUAAGCUGGCACCUUGACGGUACCUAACCAGAAAGCCACGGCUAACUACGUGCCAGCACCGCCGCAGUAA